Molecule: small nucleolar RNA, 107 nt
Organism: Mangifera indica (mango)
Lineage: Eukaryota; Viridiplantae; Streptophyta; Magnoliopsida; Sapindales; Anacardiaceae
Source: RefSeq, a predicted model, not a curated record
AAGCCAUGAUGUGGACAUUGUCUUUGAAGAUCCUUAAACCUCUCCCUAGCUUCAUAUAAUGUCUCAUCUUUCUUCUAAGUAAAGAUGGUAAUAUCAUUCCUUAGUUU